Molecule: long non-coding RNA, 780 nt
Filed under: Zostera marina
Lineage: Eukaryota; Viridiplantae; Streptophyta; Magnoliopsida; Alismatales; Zosteraceae
Description: long non-coding RNA (ZMAR_LNC002682)
Source: RNAcentral
AGUUCUCAAUUUUUUUUCACAUUUUUAUCUUUGUUGUUUUUUAUACAAUAUAAUACAAUCGACUUAAAUUAGUUAUCAAUUGGUAAUUUCUUUCAACCUUUGAAGAUUAAACACAAAUAUUCUCAACUCUCAUGGUCACAAUAAUCCACUGGAAAAUAAAACCAUGUUUGGCAUCUUAAAACAAUACCUUUAUUUUUUCGUGACUUGUUUGGAUAAUGAAAUUAGUGUUUCAUGCUUAAAGUUUUAUGAAUGUUUUCGAUUCAAUACUCACAUCCAAUAUAAUACAAUCGACUUAAAUUAGUUAUAAAUUAGUAAUUGCUUUCAACCUUUGAAGAUUAAACACAAAUAUUCUCAACUCUCACGAUCACAAUAAUCCGUUGGAAAAUAAAACUAUGUUUGGCAUCUUAAAACAAUACCUUUAUUUUUUCCGUGACUUGUUUGGACAAUGAAAUUAGUGUUUCAUGCUUAAAGUUUUAUGAAUGUUUUCGAUUCAAUACCCACAUCCAAUAUUUGUUUACCUUAAACAGAAAUUUUGAAUAUUUACAUGUAAAUCAAAAUUCAAAUCAUCCAAAAGAAAUCUAUAAUUUAGUUUACAUGACUGUUUCUUUACUAUUAUAGCAUAUUUUCAAAAUAUAAUCACUGCAAUUCUUUCCACUCUGCAUAAUGUAUAUUUUCAAAACCAUGAUUAAUGGAGACUUUUUUAUCUUAUAUAUACUAGAUAAAUGAAUAUGCGUCUUUCAUUAAAACCUAAGAACUUAUGUGAUAUAUAAGAUGGAUGAC